RNAcentral lists this ribosomal RNA (260 nucleotides) under uncultured bacterium. Its description in RNAcentral is "partial 16S ribosomal RNA". It matches the Rfam family "Bacterial small subunit ribosomal RNA", at positions 524 to 777 of the family's 1533-position model. The record is from RNAcentral.
UACGUAGGGUGCGAGCGUUGUCCGGAAUUAUUGGGCGUAAAGGGCUCGUAGGCGGUUUGUCGCGUCGGGAGUGAAAACUCAGGGCUUAACCCUGAGCCUGCUUCCGAUACGGGCAGACUAGAGGUAUGCAGGGGGAGAACGGAAUUCCUGGUGUAGCGGUGAAAUGCGCAGAUAUCAGGAGGAACACCGGUGGCGAAGGCGGUUCUCGUGGGCAAUUGACCUGACGCUGGAGGAGCUGAAAGUGUGGGGAGCGAACAGGA